GGAAAAAUGAAAAUUGCAGUAUCAAAAGUCCUUGUGCUUGUAAGUGGGCUAGUUGGAGUUAUAUUUUAUUGGUUGGCUGUCAUUAAUGAAUAUUGGCAUACUGAAUCAAGUGAUAACAAUUCUUUGCAAUGUAAGUAAUGAUUUAAUCGGGUUUGUGACUUAGGAAGCUAAAGGAUGGAUCGGUUUUACAUUAUAAUAGAAUAUUAUUGAUAAUAAUACAAUGAUGAUACUUUUGAUAAUUAUAUUAUUAUUAUUAUUAUUAUUAUUAUUAUUAUUUAUUAUUAUUAUUAUUAUCUUCAUUAUUCUCAUCAUCAUCAUUUUUACAAAUGUAACUUAUCAUAUUAAUAUCUUAUUUUCAUUAUAAUUCAAAAUAAUAUCUAUAUGAGAGUUGAUAUCCAUGAACUUGACUACAAGUAAUGCAGCAGCAUUUAUUUACCCGAUUUUAGUGGUGCUAUGUUGAAUUUUCGAAGAUAUUUCAAACAAUUUUUACCUCUUUUCCUCGACGGAAAUCGCUAGGAAUUUUCUCCUAUUUUUAACAUAAGAAGAAUCAAAGAAAUACCCAGAAGAGAAUAACAUUAUUUUUUUUUCGUUUGAAGAAAGCGCACACACACACACGCAUCUUUAUUUUUUGUAGCGGACCAGAAGAUAACAUUUUCAUACGAUGCUCUCAAAGUUUCUCCCGUUUAAAACAAAAGCGUUACAAAUCCCGAUAGAAUUUUAGAGAAAAAUUAAACUGAAACACGCGAUAUCUUUUAUGCCGUCAAUACAUUAAAUUUCAUAUGAUGAUUAGUGCUCGUAGUUAAAGCUCCAGUCCCACUAGACAAAGAUCGCACCACGCUCACCACACGAUCUAAAAUAAAUUCAGAUCGUGGUGAGAUCGCGCUAUGAGCGGCAUGCAAAUGUAAAUUUUCGUUGCUUUCACGAUGCUACUACGUCCUCAUUACGCUUCUACAACGAUCCCGCUACGAUUUUACCACGUUCUCACAACGCUUUGUCUACGAUUAUCAUGAUCCUACUACGCUCAUCACGUUAUCACUACGACCAUACCACGAGUUAUCCGAUUGCAACACGAUCUUACUACGCUUCUAUUGCGAUUAUAGCACGUUCUUACCACGAUUACACUACGUUAAUAUCGCGAUCUUACUACGUUUUCAGCAAUAACGUCAACAUCGUGUUCCAUAUAAAUACUGUUCAAUUCCUUAUAAUUCUGAUUAAUACGUAGAUUUCUCGGAAACAACACAGUCAUGACACCAAAAUCUACCAGAACACGUGGACGUGGUGGUAGGAGUAGAUGAAAAGACAGAGAGAUCUCAGAUAGUAACGAAUCCUGAUCUAGCAGAUAUGUCGGAUUGACCAAUCCAACCUGAAUCACAACCUAUUGCUAGUCCAUCAAGCUCAAAUAACGAUGCAUGUUUUUGUGAACAAUAGAAGGGAUGACACAUACAGGUGUGUCAAGCAUGGUUGAGCCGUUCGAGAAAAAGGACAAGGGGUUCAAAUUACAUACAGAGAAACAAAACCUGGAGAGCUUUUACAUAUGUCAUAUGCAAUUGACAAUGAGCAUGCUGGUCGUAGUAUGAACGUAGGCAGGUCGUUAGAAGAGCGUGAUGAUGACGGCAUGGACGUGCUAGAAUCGUACUAUGGUCUUGAAGAGCAUGGUGUUAACGUGGUAUAGUCGUAGUGUAAGCGUAGAAAGGUCGCGGUGAGAACGUGAUGGUCGUAGUAAGGUCGUAGUAACGUCGCUGUGAGAUCGUAGAGAAGUCUCUCCGAAUAGAAUCACGCUUUCUCUACGCUCUCGCUACGAUGGUACAACGACCUAAGCGAUCUUACCACGACCUUACUGCGCUCUCACUACGCUUCUACUACGACUUGAUUUCGCCACGACCGCACCACGAUUGUUUUGAACAUGUUCAAAGUUAAUCACGCUCAUCACGAUCUUGAAUACCAAACCACGACCGUUUUACGACCUUACUGCGAUCUACACGAUCGCACUACAAUCGUCAAAAUUUUAAUUUUUUUCACAGAUCGUAGUGCGAUCGUGGCCUAAUGGGACUGCGGUAUAAGUGCAUUGAACGAAAUGCAAAUUUUGAUAUUUUAUCGGAUGAACAAACAUGUGUGUACUUAUUUCUAAAACAUAGUGAUAUGCCAAGACCUGCUCCAAUAUUUCAAGAUUACCUUUUUAUAUUAUCUUAAUGUAAUUUAAAAUAUUUUAUUAUUUCAUGACAUGCUAUGUAAUUAUAUAUGCAUGUGUAUAUGCGUUUUUUCAGUCUCUCAUGAUUUUUAAUGUUAAUCCUUCCUUGUGAAUUGUUUGUUUUAUGUUGUUAAUAUAUUUUUGUCAAAAUUAUGUGUUAUUUAAGCAGCAGAAUCUAUAAUUUUAUUAUUGAAAGCGAUUAGUUUUAACUAUAAAUUAUAAUAUGAGAGUAAUAGAUGGAGUGAGUCAGUUUUCAUGGAUACUUGGACAUGCAACAACUGACAAUAUUCAUUGGAUGAUGAUUUAUACAAUACGAAGUGUUCUCUACAUGUUUUUUUUUUGUAUUCUUAAUAUUAGGCAUUUGCUUGACAGUUGCAACAAAAAUUUGAUAGACAUUUAAAAGUAAAUUCAAUUUUUGUUUUGAGUGAUUCCUGAGGCAGGAGAUACCAGAUGGACAUUCAAACUCAAGUAAAAAAUAAAGGUUAACCGUCUCCGCUGAAAACGACAAGGACCAACAGACAUACAGACAUACAACAGCACACAAAACACAACAUAGAAAAACAAAAGCUGAGCAACACGAUCCCACUAAAACUUGGUGUGAUCCUUGAUUCCACAAAAGGGUAAGCACAUCAUGUACCCUAUGUGACAACCGUCGUGUAGCUCAUGUACUAGUAAAUACAAAUCCGGUGAUAAGUAUAAUUCGGUAGGUCACACGAAAAUGAGACGGGAUUGUAUUUACAUAAGAAUUAGAAUCAUUGUUGUAUAAGUGACUAUAAAAAGAUAUAAAUAAUUCAAUAUAUUAUUUGUAUUAUUCUCUUACGUAGAACUCGCGUAAGUAAGCGUACAUGCCAAAGCGACGUUAAUCCAUAAUAAUCAUAAUAGGAGAUACAAUAUACGUUUAUGAGAUACGAUUUGAGUAACUGUUAUAAGUAACGCUGCAUCUUCGAUGAACAUGUGUAUUACAAGUUAAUAAUAAAAAAUAAAUUCUGAACAUUUGUAUCAUUAUCAAGAUCAUAUUAUGAUAGGGAAAAAACGAAAUAUUUCAGAAAUGGUUUAGAUUUUUGAAAAACGCCACAUGUCCUUCUGAAGUGUUGGACCUCGAAAUGAUUGUUUUAGUCCUUUUUAAAUGUGUUUUAUAAUCCACCUGGAUUAAAGUACAACUAUAACCUGAUUCAAUCAACUAUUGUCAAUCGACCGUUAAAAUUGUUAACAAGUUCAUUCUAAACUAAAAAAGCUCUGAAUAUAAACUAUAUUUUCAAUUCUAAUGCAACAACGUUUGUAACGUUCAUUUUGAUUAGAUAACGUCACUUAUUUAUAUGGCAUCAAUUGACAAUUGAUGCUAUGAGACGUACGCGCAAGAGACGACGGCAUAUGCCAGAUAAUAAAUACUUUUUUUAACGUUGUUUGCUGUCAGUUUUAUUAGAUGGAGAUAACAAUAUUGUAUUUGAAGCUCUGACGGCAUUAAUUGGGGAUUUGAUUGUCGCAAAAUGCUAAUUGAUACCGUCGGAGCUUAAAAUACAAUACAGAUAUCUCCUAAUGAAAACGACCACUGAGAAUAAACUAAGAAAAUAUAGGUUCAAUGCAUGUACUAUAUACAUAUAUAUAUAUGUAUCGCUCAAAUAUAUGGCGGGUUCCAAAUCGUUGGCAGAUUCCUAAUCUAUGGUAAAUAUGACGUCAUGCCAUUCCAAAUCUAUGUCAUAUUUUUUUAGUUGAUUUUUAUAAUCAGUUGAAUGUCACUUCAUAAUAUUUCUAAAGCAAAGUUAUCUAUUAUAAAUCACGCUGCACAUUCGAGUAACAUGUGUAAUACAAUUUUUUGGGAAAUAAGUACUUUGUUCCACUACUAAAUUGUCUAUUCUCCUUACCAGUACACUUGGUACAAUCAAAAACCUGAUAAUAAAUUGUUCAAAUAAGGCCUUCGAAAAUAGUGGAAUUUAAUUACUUUUGGAGUGUCAAGAACUAAUUGGAAGUACUUGAUAAAUUGCAUGCUUAUAUUGGUGAUUUUAAAUCUGUUCAAAGUUUUGAUUUUUCUACCCUGUAUACCACAUUGCCUCACAUUCUCAUUAAGCAAAAUUCACGCAACUAAUUAAAUGGGCAUUUACAAAGUCAGAAUGUGAAUACAUGUAUAUAUGUUCAAACUCUUUUAGGUCAUUUUUAGUAGCAAUAAACAAAAAAACUAUGUCAAUUGGACAUGCUUUGAUGCUAUAUAUGCCCUUGAAUUUUUACAAGAUAACAUUUUUGUUCGCUUUGGAGUUUCCGUAUAUCGUCAGGUUAUCAGAAUUCCAAUGGGACUUACUGUGCACCACUUAUUGUGGAUCUGUUUUUGUAUUGCUAUGAGUUACAAUUUAUGACAAAAAUCAGCAAAUACCCAUCGAAACAACAUCUGAUAAACAAAAUUAAUAAUACUUUUAGAUUUUUAGAUGAUAUUUUGGCUCUCAAUAAUGACGACUUCGGUAUGUAUACUUAAGAAAUUUAUCCUGUUGAACUUACUUCAAAUAAAGCUAAUACUAACAAUGACCACUGCCCUUUCCUCGAUCUUGAUAUCUAUAUCACUAACGGAAAGCUUAAUACUAAAAUUUAUGAUAAAAGAGAUGAUUUUUCAUUUCCUAUCGUUAAUUAUUCAUUUUAAGAUGUUGACGUUCCCUUGUCACCAUCUUACGGUGUUUAUAUAUCUCAACUUGUACGAUUCGCUCGUGUAUGUAACAAUGUUUUAGAUUUUAACGAGAGAAAUUUAUGUAUUACUGAAAAAUUAUUACACCAGGGUUUUCGAUAACACAAACUAGUCAAAACAUUUACUAAAUGUUAUCAUCGGACAUCAUUCGUAAAUAUAGCUCAAUAUGCAGGCUUCCUAAACGUUCAUGUAUUUCACAUCCAUUUUUUUAUGGAAAUAUUCUUUAUAAAGCACAAAAAUGUCAGUAUUCACCUUAGAAACUAACAAAACCUUUAAAUAGACUUAUUAAGAAGGGAAUUAGUUACGAUACUGUUGUCAGGUCAUUAAACAUUGCAUAUGUUGGCGUUAAUAUUGAUUCACUUAUAGGGUCUUUGCAUCGGAACUAAACACAUAUAUUCAAAAACCAGUUAUUGGCAUGACACGGGUUAUGUUCUUCUCAUAUAUGUUAUGAUGGUAUGAUACUAAACCCAUAACGGGAAGGAUUGUGCCUGAUAUUCAUAUGAUGAAAUCAUAAUCUUCCAAUCAGUUUAAUUGAAUUCUGGAGCUGGCAUGUCAGUUAACUGCUAGUAGUCUGUUGUUAUUUAUGUAUUGUUGUCAUUUUGUUUAUUUUCUUUGGUUACAUCUUCUGACAUCAAACAUUGUGGAUGGAGCUAUGUAUCCACUCGUCUUUGUGUUACUACCAGGAAAUCCUGACAAUAUGCACGUAUUGACUUUGUGAUGCAACACUUUUUAAAGUUCAUUUGAAGAAAAUCCAUAUUGUUUAAGCAGUAACAGCAAAAAGUACUUUCAACAGCUUGAAAAAUAUCUAUUAGAUUUAGCUACCUGUAAUUUACCUUUCUGUUUAAUUAGUAUGAUUUUUUUCAAAAGCUCAUGUAAUAAACCAUAACGUUAACCUGCGAAUCCUUUUGUCAUUUAAACUGCACUGUAUAUGUAGUUCGGGAAAAAUGAAAAAUGUAUCAAAAGUCCUUGUGCUUGUAAGUGGGCUAGUUGGCGUUAUGUUUUAUUGGUUGGCUGUCAUAAAUGAAUAUUGGCAUACUACAUCAAGUGAUAACAAUUUUUCGCAAUGUAAGUAAUGAUUUAAUUGUGUUUGUGACUUAAGAAACAAAAGGGUUGAUCGGUUUUAAAAAAACUUUUUGACGUCAGACACACAAAUUAAUGAAUGUGUUUGUAGAUAGACGUUUUUGUGUUCUGUUAAAUUGUCCCUUUUAAAAUUGUUAUACGAUGAUGACUGAUGUACCUAUAUUUUGACUAUUUUAUUUAUUGUGUUUGUUUAGUUUACGCAUCAAUGUAAAUAUAACGGAAUUUGACGAGACUGUCAUCAAAGUGAGAGGUUUAGCGCUAUAAAACCAGGUUUAAUCCACCAUUUGUUUUUACAUUUGAAAAUGCCUGUACCAAGUCAGGAAUAUGACAGUUCUUGUCCAUUCGUUUUUGAUGCGUUUUUGUUAUUUGAUUUUGCCAUGUGAUUAUGGACUUUCCGAAUUGAUUUUCCUCUAAGUUCAGUAUUUUUGUGAUCUUACUUUUUACAUUAUAAUGUAAUAAUAAUAUUCAUAAUAAUACAAUGAUGAUACUAUUGAAAAUAUUGGUUUAUUCCUUGAAUGCCAACAUCCUUUGAUUUACUGACAAUUUACCUGUAAAAUUAUGUUGGCAUUCCAUGAAUAGGUGCAAAUAGUUAUCACAACAAAAGUGCAUGUUUUUCAAAACAAUCAUACUAAUUAAACAGAAAGGUUAAUUACAGGUAGCUAAAUCUAAUAGAUACUUGUCAAACUGUUGAAAGUAUUUAUUUGCUGUUACUGCUUGAACAAUAUGGAUUUUCUUAAAAUGAACUUGGAAAAGUGUUGCAUCACAAAGUCAAUACGUGCAUUUUGUCAGGAAUUCCUGGUAGUAACUCAAAUACGAGUGGAUACAUAGCUCCAUCCACAAAGCUUUGUAGGGAGUACAACUGGUAAAACGGUGCAAUCAACAUAAAGAGUAGAAGCUGCUGUUAAAUGGCUCACGUUGAAGUGGAUGCUGAAUAUCAGGAUACAGUCUUGGUCUCCAUCAUCAAUGAGCAGAAAGUUAUCACCAGUUGUCGUCUAAUCCAUUUGCCCUCUAAGUUAAUCUCCUGUCUUGAAAUUGGCAGUUGAGGUAUCGUCUGACUAUGCUUGGUAUAGUGUGAUGUCUUGCAGGUUGUAAAGGUGGGCAUACUCUGGACUAGUCUUUCGGAGUCGUUGUCCUAGUCUCUGUUGCGUAGUUUGACUAAUUCGUCUGCAUUGAUUGUUGGUAUUAGAGUGCUUUCAACAAGACAUCUCUGUUUCUUUCUUUUGAGCACGUGAUCAAAAUUGAGUUCAACUGGAUCUGACAGAUGAUUAUGUUGAUCUCUCGUAUUCUAUUGAGUAUGUUGAUGGUAGCUGUGCAGUCAGACUUUACACAUCUCCAGUAGCAUCUGUCCCCCGUUUAGUCUUUACUCUGUAUAUAUGCUUGUAGUUAUUGUCGACCAAGUUUUCUUUGCCAAGACGGUUCUUAAACUGUGCAUUGACACAACUUGUCUAUUCUCGGCUUGAAAGUGCACAUAACUGGCUUUUUGUAGUUUGAAAUAAUUGUACCGAGUAAAAUUUCUUUAGUAUUUCUUAUAUUUUUUAUGAUAAUAAAUACAUUUCCAUUCCCAAAAUAACUAUAAUUUUUUAUUUUAAAAGUAAUAAAAAUGUUUUAAUUUGUUGAUUUCUUUCAAAUGUUGCAAUUUUAUCAGGUUUACUAAUUAUUUUGAACGGUUUAAUACUGAUAAAAACAUUUAAACAGUUAAAAACACACCUAUUGUUAUUAUAAAAACAUCUGUUGAAAUAUUUUUGUGGGCGUUCAAGGAAUAGGUACCAAAUAAAAUGUUGGCAUUCGCGGAAGACACCGAAAAUAUUAAUAUUAUUAGUAUUAUAAUCUUCAGUAUCUUCAUCAUUAUCAUUUUUACAAAUGUAACUUAUCAUAUUAAUAUUUUAUUUUUAUUAUCGUUCAAAAUAAUAUAUAUGUGAGAGUUGAUAUCCAUGAACUGGACUACAAAUAAUGCAGCAGUAUUUAAUUGCCCGAUUUCAGUGGUGCUAUGUUGAAUUUUGGAAGAUAUUUCAAACAAUUUUAACUUCUUUUCCUAGGACGGAAAUCGCUAGGAAUUUUCUCUUAUUUUUAACAUAUGAAGAAUCAAACAAAUACCCAGAAGAGAAUAACAAUAUGUUUUUCCUACGAAGAAAGCAUACACACACACACACACACAUCUUAAUUUGUUUGUAGCGGUACAAAAGAAACACAAUUUCAUACGAUCCUCUCAAAGUUUCUUCCGUUUAAGCAAAAACAUAACAAAUCCCGAUCAAAUUUUAGAGAAAAAUUAAACUGAAACACGUGAUACCUUAUAUGUCGUCAAUACAUUAAUUUGCAGAUGAUGAUUAGUGCUCGUAGUGAAGUGCAUUGGACGAAAUGCAAAUUUUGAUAUUUUAUCGGAUGUGUGUUCUUAUUUCUAUUAAUUAGUGAUAUGCAAAGACCAGCUUCAAUAUUUUAAGAAUACCUUUUUAUAUUAUCUUAAUUCUAUUUAAAUAUUUUAUUAUUUCAUGACAUGCUAUGUAAUUAUAUAUUCAUGUGUAUAUUCGUUUUUACAGUUCUAGUGAAUUCAAAUCCGGUGAUUCGGUAGGUCACAUUCUUCGAAAAUGAGACGGGAUUGUAUUUACAAUUUAAACAUAUAUUACAUAACGGUCAAACAAGCCUUAUUGGCGACCUUAAAAUUUACGAAGGAAUCAUUUCAACUUCACAGCUUAUAACUCUUUGUUCAAAUCCUUCUUUGUGAGCAGCAACCCUCUUUCGAGGACAUUAUGUUCGGUAAUGCAAACCCUACAAUAUCAACUGGGAGGUAUAUACUCCGCAUAUGCAAGAGUUGCUGGAAUAUAGCUACAUAGAAAUGGAAAGUUUUCUAUUAGAAAACUGAAGUUAUAUAUUUUGUCUUCAAGUUGUUUUCAUCCGACACUCAUUGUCAAUUACUAGAUGUAAGUCAAUGUAUAUGGCAGACUUAACUGUAUAUGAUGUAUUCUUUAUCUCAACGUCCAAUGACUAUAAUCGUUGCAAACGAGCUGCAUAAGAAUUGGGUAAUGGUUUUAAAUAACUAUAAUUGAUUACUCAUAAGAAAUCAAUGUGACACUGAUUAGCUAUUCAUAUAAAGCACCUGUACUUUUUAAAGGGGUACUAGCUGCCAAAUUCAUGGUCGCCGAUUUGACUCAAAUUCUCAUAUUUGAUUUAUAACAAUGUAAAAUAUUUACCUAAACUAUCAAAAGUCUAAAAUAAACAGUUUACAGAGCAUAGCGUAGAUAAUAUAUAGGUUCGUUUCAUGUGUAUUCUAGUCCAGACGCCAUCUAAUUACCUAUCGAUUUGACCUCAGAAGACCAUAUAAGCGAUGUAAACAUAAAUAAAGAUAUGAAUAGAUUAAACCAACACGUGCAAUUGGAGUUUUAUAGGUCUGUUUGAUUUUAUUUUAUAGAUUAAAAAUAGAUGUUUCUCAUUGUUUUUAACCGUAUAAGAAUGAUUUUAUGUGCAUCGAACUAGUGAUCAAAUGAUUUACUAAGUUUCACUUUCAUUGUUGACGUUCUUUUUUUUUAUAUAACCAGUACACGUACAAUGCAUGCGUUGUCAAGCUCUAGCUAGGGAUUAAAUUGAAGUUCUCGACUUGCAAGUGAAUUACUAAUUAUCAGUGUUUCUUAGCGUAAUUUGACAAAAUUGAACCUUUUUGGUUGCAAAAAGCGAAUUGUUAUUUCACUAUUUCACUUUUAUUAUUGAUUGAACAGAAGAAAAAUCAAACUUUCGAUUUUUUAUAUAUCUUUUAGCUAGUGCUCCUUUAAUGACAUGUCAGGGGACAAAAUCAAAAUUCAUUUUAUAAACUUUGAUUCACAAACUACCAACAAGGUAGAUUACAAACAUUGUCAUAUAAGUGGCUAUAUAAAGAUAUAAAUAAUUCAAUAUAUUACUUGUAUUCUUCUCUUAGUAAAUAUCACGAUAAGUAAGCGUACAUGCCCAUGCAAGCGACAUGUAUCCAUAAUAAUCAUGAUAGGAGAUACAAUAUACCUUUAUAAGAUACGAUUUGAGUCACUGUUAUAAAUAACGCUGUACAUUCGAUGAACAACUGUACUGCAAGUUUAAAAAAAAAAAUAAUUGAACUUUAUCAUUAUCAAGAUCAUAUUAUGAUAGAAAAAAAAGAAAUAUUAUACAAAUGAUUUAGAUUUUUGAAAAACACUACAUGAAGUGAUGGACCUAGAAAAUGAUUGUAUUAGUCUUGAUUAAAUGUGUUUUAUAAUCCACCUGGCUCAAAGUACAACUAUAACCUUAUUUUAUCAACUGUUGUCCAUCGACCGUUAAAAUUGUCAACACGUUCAUUCGAAACUGAAAAUGCUCUGAAUAACUAUCUUUUUAAUCAACACGACCGCUGCGAUUAAACUAAGAAAACUAUAAAGGUUCAAUACAUGUACGUGUAUUAUAUAUAUAUAUAUAUAUUUACUUUAUAUAUAUUUAUUUACUUUAUUUCAUUCUUAUCGAAGAUUUUGCAACAUUGGGAUUGUAUGAUAAAAAUGUCAAAUAUUAAUUAGAGUAAUUGAAUCAGUUGAAUGUCACUUGAUAAUAUUUCUGAAGCAAAGUCAUCUAUUAAAAAUCACGCUGCACAUUCGAUGAAACUGUGGAAUAUAAGUUUUUGAGAAAUAAAUACUGUUAUCAGUAUCCACAGCAUAUUCCGUAUCACAAGACAAGUGUUUGUGUGAAAGUGGUUGGCUGUAGAUCGUCUUGAUAAACACUGAACACAAUCCGAUUUAUAUAAGUAAUAUAUUAAGUCCUACCAAAGCUUCUACUCUUAAGACUGAUAAACGAUCGCACAUACACAUCGGUGUAGUGACUAUAGGUAUUAUACCAGAGCUUAUUCCUUGGAUAUUGGAAGAUGCACCGUUCCUUAGAUAUUUAUUCUGAACUUGUUAUUUUGGCCUAUGUAACCUAGUAGCAAUGUGUGAGACGUGUUAUUGUCUUUGCAAAUUCGUUAGAUGUCCAGCAGCAACGAGUGCAUAUAUGUGCACUACCAAAUCCUGUGGUGUAUUCUACCUAUGUACUGCUUUUCCAGUGCACUAUCUUGCCUGUUCUACCUUUGCACCGUUUAACAAGUGUAUUGUCUGGUUUAUGCUUCACUUGUGCACUAUUAACCAUAACAAUACCGAUAAAUAGAUGGAAGACAAAACACUAAAAAGUAUAUAUAUUUAUAUAUAUAUAAGUCUAUGAAAAGGACCAACCAGCAAAUUUACUACGUACCGGAUCGUCUAGAAUAUAUAUAUAAACGCCCAAAAAAGUGUACACAACAACUCCAAAUACAAAAAAAAACGGUAACUAUAAAUAUAAUUAUUUAUAAAUAUUUCGGAUAACAGAUAUCCUUCAUCGGUAUAUAUGAUUGUGAUGUUGAAUGAAUCAAUUAUCAGUCUACUUAGAUUAAGUUGUUACAAUUUUGAACCGAACAUCAGUUAAGACGCUUGCACCAUUCUAAAAAUUUAUUAAACAUGACAUAGGUUAUAUGGCUUAUUACAACAGAGAGUUCAAAUAUAUGUUUCAAUACAAAUAAUAAUGUAUGAUAUGAACUAGCACAAUUCUAAAACUUUAACGGGAACGACAAUUAUGAUGGUACAAGAAUGAUUACGUCAAUAAAAUUGCCAAAUAGACAGCACUGAACGAUCUAAAUUUAUAAAUAUUUUAAAUUGACAGAUUAAAGUAGCUGCAACAGACUCUGAGUAUUUAAGCAUCGCGAACAAACAACCGUUAAAAUGUAAUCAUUAGUUUUGAAUAGGUAUAACUGGAAGAACGUGGCUUGGUACUUAUACAUCACUCAAAAAAUUAAGCAAUUUAAAUGGGUAUCUUCAACAAGUUUAUUUAAUGGAUGAAAAAGGUUAAGAAAUAGAAACAGAAGCUGUAAUAAUAAGUAAUAUAACCUAAAUGUGAAGCACUACAUCAAGUCGAACUACAUCUUUUCAUUUAUCCCAUUUGGUGCCAAAGUUGUUAAUUUCCUUAUCCAAAACCUUUCCCGAGCGAGUCUUUCCUCCUUAGACCAAGCAGAGUUGUGGUCAAUGAUUUUAAUGGUCAGUCGAUUGAGAUCUGCCUUAGUGUGACCAGGGGACCUCAAAUGUCAAAUCACAACGGUACUGAUAUAAGAUGGUAUAAUACUUAUAUCAGUACCGUUGUACAAAUUUUUAGACUGAUAUUACAAAAGAGUAAAAUCACAAAAAACACUCCGAGGAAAAUUCAAAACGCAAAGUCCCUAAUCAAAUGGCAAAAUCAAAAGAUAAAACACAUCAAACAAAUGACAACAAUUGUCAUAUUCAUGACUUGGUACCGAAGCUGUCUUAUGUAGAAAAUGGUGGACUGACCCUUGUUUUAUAGCGCCAAACCUCUCACUUGUAUUAGAGUCGCAUCAAAUUCCAUGAUAUUGACAACAAUGCUUGAACAAAACAGCCUCAGUUUUAUUGUUUAUAUUCACCCCACAUAUAUCAAGUUUUAGAUUAUUUUAUUUACACACAAGACAUUUCUUGGUAUUUUUAAACGGAAGAUUAAAUAGACAGAAGAAGAAGUAUACUUAACAACAAAAUUGUUUUAUUAACCUGUGUAUUAUAUGACGUAUUUUUUUUUCAAAUUUGAUGUUUUUAUAAAAUUGUUACUCUUCACAGCAGUUUUAUACUUUUACUUUAAUAAUCCAUCCCUUAUUUUUAUUAACUCUGUACUAACAUUGCAUCACAGAUCAAAUGUAAUUGUUCAUUGUGUGUUUAUUUAUGUCACUUCGUUUUUUGAUUGAGUUAAGUCACUCCAAUUGAUAAAGUGUGUCUAUCUAUGUUUUGAUGUUAUACUACUGUUUGAAAAAAAGGGAGGUUUGGUACCAUUAAAACGUUUAAUCCCGCUGCAGUUGUUUGCACCUGGUCUAAGUCAGGAAUCUGAUUAUCAGUGGUUGUCGUUUGUUUUUGUGGUUCAUUAGUAUUUCUCGUUUCUCGUUUUUCAUAUAGAUUAGACCGUUGAUUUCUCGCUUGAAUGGUACUACACUAGUAAUUUGUGGGGCCCUUUAAAGCUUGCUGUUCGGUGUGAGCCUUGGCUCCGUGUUGAAGACCGUACCUUGACCUAUAAUGGUUUACUUUUAUAAAUUGUGACUGGAAAUAAGAGUUGUCUCAUUGGCACUAAUACCACAUCUUCCUAUAUCUAAUUAAUAUGUAACAUUGUCAAAAUAGGGGUACAGCAUUCAUAGCCAUGUUACAAUCUCAAUCAGAACAAAAACAAACAAAUAUUUAACAAAGAUGCACAAAAAACAUACAUAAAAUUUUACAACCAGGUUCAUUGCUUACUUAUUUUUGUAUUUUAUUUGAGUAUAUUAAAAUCAACCCAUAAAGGAUUGAAAUAUUUUAAAUUCUGUUACUGAAUGGCUAGAUAAACAUCAACUCUGGUGUAGAAUCACGCGUUUAACGUCAGAAUGUAAACGUCACACAGGUAGAGAUAUAAACUAAUUCAAAUUAUGCAAAAAUUAUAAUCAAAACAUUAAUAUAAUAACGUCAUAUGUAUCAAAGAAACACAAAAAGUCACACGGACAAAGCACAACACCAAAAAUGAAAGAUAAUACAACCAACACAUUGACGGGAUGCAUAAGUACCGAGCCACGUCAAAUCACCAAAAACAAACCAAACAGUAAAAGUUAAAAUAUUAAUAAAGACAAAAAAAAGAGUUAACGUUAUUAAGAUUAUAUACAACAUAAGUACGCAGAAUCUAUACACAAGAACCAUCAUGUUUCAUUUUUGAAGUUGAUACGGAAUAUUUAUUAACAAGGUCUUGGUACCUUCCAAUAUACAUUUCUUUGAAAACAGACGAGACGUUCUUCGACAUACCCCUGGUUUAUCAACUUUUUUUGUUCUUUUAUACGUCUUGACUUCCUUGAAAUACAGCUUUUUUGACAGCGCAUCAGGUUAAAUACUAGGUAACUGACCAUACCGUUAACUCUGGACGAUACCAAAUAUCGUAUGCCUGUGAGUGUUUGCAGAAUAUCUAAACCCCUUAUUGCUAAACGUUUGAAUGACGGCCCUUAUUUGCACAAUUUAUUCAUUUUUUUCAAUAUUAGCCGUAAUAGCGAAGGUGUUUUGAUGUACCAUAAAAAUUGUGAAAUUGCAAAGAAAUAGUACUAUAGUACCUUUAUGUACAUCUUUAGUCCAUGAUAUCCGCAUUUGAUCAGUAAGAUUGUACGUUAUAUAAUACUGUCCGAUAAGGCAAACGAAUAUCUACUGUCCUUAUGGAUUAAAACGUUAAGAGUUUCUUGGAUGUUUAGAAAAUUGUUGAUAUUUCAAAUGUUAACAAUUAUACGAUCAAAUGCGGAUUUGUGUCUUCCUUGGUAAGACUGAAAUUUACAAAUAAAGGCAACAGUGGUAUACCGCUGUUCGAAAUUCAUAAAUCGAUUGAGAGAAAAAAACAAAUCCGGGAUCCAAACUAAAACUGAGGGAAACGCAUUAAAUAUAGGAGGAGAACUAUGACACAACAGAAACACAUUAAAAUGCAACACACACAGAAAAGAACUAUAAUAUAACAAACAUUUACAUUUGGUUCCAGGUGUAAAGAACGUGUGCAUAUAAAAAUCCUGCAUUAAUAAACGAUAACUGUCAACUUCGUUUAUCAUAAUCAAACGUGUAUCUCGGAUCAUUAAUUUUACAAUUGAAACCUUCAAAAAGGACAACAGUUUCCAUGGUUAAAUAAAUGUAAUACUUGUAGACAUCUCUAUCAGAGUUUAUCAGAGUUUCAACUUCUUUCGAGAAUAGCUCAUAACUGUGGUUUGUUUUUGGUAAGUGAACACAUAUCAGAUAAAUGUUUGAUGUGUCUGGUAUAUUUAAUUCAAUUCCCAUUAUUCUACUGAUCGGAAUAUCCAGUAUUUCAACAAGAGACCAGUUUUGCCCGAUACCAGAAAGGUGACGACGCCUCUUUAUAUUAAACUUGAAUAAUUGAUGACAAUUGUCAUAAACGCCUUUCCCGUCACCAAUAUAAUUCGUCGUAUGUAAACGCAUCAACUUACAAGACCGAAACCAGAGGUCUGCAAUGAUAACAAUUAUGUCAAUUCUAUUUAUAUUAAGGAAAUCAAUAAGAUAUGGAACACUAUAAUCAUGACUCCACGAGAGAGUUCAAACAUGCAAAGUAAAGUUCCAUGAUUAAGCACAUACGAUACAGUUUUGAUCCCAUAAUGAUUUGAAAAUUUGAAUCUCGGCUAUUUUUGUACCUGAUUAAAUCAAAUAUGUAAUAAAAAAUAUAUCAUCAUGUGCUUUUUUUUGAGUAAAUCGAGGUUGAAAUGUCAAAUAGUUCCUCAAAAUUCGGAUUUGUGGACGCAUUUUUUUCCUUUCGACAGAAAUGUAUAACUUUUUUGUUUAAAGAAAUAAACAUAUUAAAGCUGUUUUUUUUUGUUAAGUAAUUUGUUAUUUCUGUUUUAUAUUAAUGUUCUUCAAAUUUGUACAUUUUAUUUUUACAAAUAAUCAUAAAUAUCAAAUUUUUAUGAAUGUAGAAAAAAACGCCCUUUUUUGCUGUAUAUUUAUCAAAUUAAAAAAAAAUGCACUAUUGACUUUUUCAUGAAAAUUGGUACACAUAAUCUUCAUGCGAAUUCAAACCAGAUGUCAUUUUAUAAAAGAGGGGUGCACGAACUCGUUUUCAAGUUAUAUCAGUUUGAAUGAUAAAAAUCGAUCAUUCAUAGUUUGACAUCGCGAAAAUAACAAUUUACGUUAGCAACUGUAACUUAUCGUAUGCCCUUAACUUAAGUGUCUACUUUGUCGUGAAUAAAUAAAUCACAAGCUAGGUUUCAAAUCUCUAGUAGAUUCCUUUCGGCCAUAAACUAGAGUUGUACACAAUAUGUCAAUCUCGUGCAUAAAGAAUCCGUUUGCUUAUUGUAAUGUGACUAUUUUACAGCUUCAAAAGAUGUAUAUGUAAGGAUGUUGAUAAUGGUGAGAAACUGCGGUUUGUUGUUUUUGCCUGCAUCCUGGAUUAUGAUAAUGUUAUCUUACUGUAAACUGUACAAUGAUUCGACAAUGCACACCCUUCCAUAUUGGUUAAAGAGGUUCGCUAUUGUGAUAUUCAGCAUAUAUGGUAAGUUCUCAAUGUUUCAAUAUAAUAAUACUUAUGAUUUUUGAAAAUUUGAAAAAAAAUUAACGGGGAGGACGCCAAUGACAUUGUUUCGUUUACGAAUCGAUCAAAGAUAAGCCUACGUAAUUUCAAACACGCGCCCACGUUAUCAGCUCGGUAGUUAGUACUUUCAAAUUGGUACUGACACGAUUUAUAACAAAUUAACUAAAAUUGCCCGUUUAUAAAUUGUGGCAUUAUAAAGAAAGUUAGAAACUAAUGUUUCAACUGCCUCGCGCAAAGUUGGCCUUAGAUGGAUUUGGCUAUUUUUAGAUCAUUUUUGGUUUAUUAUUAUCGGUCCUUAUACAUCACUGGCUUUCAAAUAUUCGGGUUUGGGUGUAACUUACCAGGGUAAAUCCAGAAAAGCGCUCCGGACGGAAAUGAAUAUCGUGUAUAUUUUUUUAUAAGCGCCGUUCCAGAUUUGGGCUGAUCUGCAGUUCACUUAAAUAACGACUAUUGUGUCUUUCAUUUGCGCAGAUUAUGAACAGGUAAAUGAAAGAUGAAUUUAUUUUCUAUUCAUCAGUAUAAACCUCUUCUGGUAGCCAGUUGUACAUUAGUCCGAGAUUACUCUGACGUCGAACGGCUAUUUUGUCAGACAAGCUGGGAGUAGGUUUUGCUGACAGUGCAGCCGUUUGACGUCAAAGUAAUCUCUGACUAAUUGUAAAUGUUAUGAAUGGUCAAUUUAAACGUAUAUACCAAACAUUGUCUCCAGCACACCGCGGAUUGGUGAAAUAACGAUAUGAACAGGCCGUAUGUGUCAUUAUAGCUUCAAUUAACGCGAUUUUUACAUAUUUUGAGCACUAUUAAAAACUAUGGUAUCACUAAUUAGCAACAAAAAUCGACAAGAAACUAUUUAGCGACAAGAAAAAUUUUUUUUAAUUAAAAUUACUUAUUUCAAAUAAAUAUUAAAAGAAUAUGCAAAAGAAAACAAUUUUAGCGACAAAAAAGUUAAUAUUGAUAGAAAGAAAAAAAUAAAACAUCAAAUUGCUACAUUUAUUUACAUGAUAUUUUAUUAUUUAUUAUGUAUUACAGCAAGUAUUACGUUUACCCUGUCGUAUUAUAUUACUUUAACUUGAGUUUUAGAACAAUAUAUUUAUCUUAUAAUUUGUUUUUUACUCUUUGAACAAUAAUGCUACGGUACCCAAAUUGCGCUGAGUACCCAAAUUGCACCUAUUAAUCAAAAAUAGCAGUAGAAAUCUUACAAGAUUUCAUAUAGACUAAACAAUUUGUAUUUUUAUGAUUUCAUACUAUGCAGGUCUUCCAAAUAGGUUAAAAUAUUUAGAUAUAAACAAAACGUUAACAGUUUUUAUCAACAGAUGAAGUGUUUACUGAAAAAGCAAAAUGUACGGAAAACCUCAUCAUGCGACGUCAUCAAAACGUCAUCUUUGUUAAAAUUAGCAAAUGCAAUAUGUUACAAGUAUCUAUUUCUUAAAAAAUGAAGAGUAAGCAUGGAAUAAUAUCCAAUUUUUCAAAAUACUUGAAGAAAUUAAACAAAAGCUCUAUUACUCGACUUUUGAUGAUGCAAAUUUAAGCAUGGAUGAUCAUGGAUGCAACUUGGGUACUGCUCAUUACUGGUAUAGAAUCAUUGAAGGUUUGGAGGUCAAUUUUAGGCCAUUUUUUAUGAUUCCAUGAUCAAUAUUAAAUUGGUAAAACCAUAUAGUAAAUUAUAAUAAAUUCAAAAUAAACACAUGAUGAAAAAAAAUUUCCGAAGAAUAAAUAAACGUAGGUUAAAAAACUGUCAAAAUAGGUGCAAUUUGGGUACCCUCACGUUAUAUAAUAAACUUGCAAAAUACAUUAUUUGUGCAUCAUUUUCAAGAAAAUACAGACACAAAUUGUGAAAUACAAAGAACUGUGAUCAACCAAGAGGAAAACAAUUAAAAUGUGAAUAUUUUCCAUCAUUUUAUUUUGUGUAUUUCCUCAGUUAACGAUAUUUAUCAUGUUUAUGCAUAUCAGAGACAUAUAAUACAAAUGUAUUAUAUGUCUCUGUGCAUAUUGAUUAAAGUUUAAAGGAAAUUAAUGGCAAUCUUGAGUUUUCAACAGAUGUUCACUAUUUGCAAUGAUUGUAUAUAUUCUGACGCGUGUAAUUGUAUAGACUGACUCGUGUACAAAGUUGAAGGUGUUAAUUGGAUGUUAUUGUAGCAAUAAAACAAGGGACACACGCCUUGAUUAUCUCACUUGACUGAUGUUCCACAUUGUGUGUACUGUUAUUACCUUAGAGUGAAGCCCCAUCUAAUGUUGUACUGUAUUGUUAGAAAGGAAAUAAUAUUUCAUGUUUUUGUUUUAAUAAAUCUUUCUAGGAAAGUUGAAAUAUCUGUGUUUUUAUUUCCAUUUCAUUGCCCGUAAAUUAAACAAAAAUGCAUAUUUCUUUAUAUUUGAUAAAAAAAAAAAUGUUUUCUUGUCGCUAAAUAGUCUUCUUGUCACUAAACUGAUUCUUCUUGUCUCUUUUUGACGCUUCUUGUCGCUAAUUAGUGAGACCCAAUCAAAGAGCAGAUUGCUCUGAGGGAUACGAUUGCAAUUGUUUUCAUUGACACAUGUAUACAUGUAGCUGGAUAAUAUUAUUUUCAAAACUAAUUCAACUGCACAUGUAAAAUGUAUUUUACGUAAUCUGAAUAGUAACAAAAUAGCCAAUCCCGGAUAAAAGUGUAUGAACAAUGUACUUAGGCUUAUUGUGUUUUAUUUUUGUACUAUUUUCUAUCAAUUCCAAGUUUACUUUUCACAGCAGUCACUGAGACUCAGAGUGAGAGAAGUAUUUCAUUUCGUAUAUUAUCACCUAUUUUCCUACGUUAAUUCUAGGAGGAACCCCAUUCCUAACUCUUCAAAUGUUUAAUUUCCUUUGGGUCAGUGAUCAUGACUCCUUCCCGUACACAUUCAUCGGUUUAAAUUGCGAUCGUUUUUAAUAGGCAUUUUUAAUACAAUACGACGUUUAUCGACAGAACGAGUUAAUUUUUCUCAGCGUAAUGUUUUGGUUGAGAAUUCACGGAAGUGUCUUCCGGAAGGGAAACAACUCGAAACGAUAAUAUGGAAGACUCCAUUUCGCCUGAAGGGGUGUUGAAAAAAAAUCUUAACGAUGUUGACUAAUUUAUUUUAAUUUAAAUGAUGCAUAUGAUUUAAAAUUAUGCAACUACAAUAACCUCAAUGGCAGACAUACAUAGAAAGGAUCCUAUGAGUUAUAAAUUAAUCAAUCGAGUGGGGAAUCCAGAGCAACCAUUACUGUUACUGUUAUUGGUAUGUUCCUCCUAUCUAAGGAGCACUCCCGAAGAAUGAGGAUAAGAAUAUGAAUAUUUACAUGUAUAUGAAUAUUUACAGGGACCUGUUAGUAGCACCAUUACCCAUAUAAAAGUCAUCACUCUAUACACAAGUUCUGAUGUCCUGAUUACUAUAUUACGACACUUUCUCGAUAUAUACAAUGUCUUUUGAUACUUGAUACUCUUUCAAAAUAUCCUUCACUUUGAAUUGUCAGUCUGAUAUUAAGUAUACUGCUCUUAUAUAUGUGAUAAAUUUAUCAAGCCUUGGUCUGAUUUAAUAAAAUACGUUUUAUAUGAAGGCGGUAACAUAAUGUUCUUGUAAUAGCUUCAAUAUCUUUACAGUUUGAUUUCUUCAGUUUGAAUAGUUCUUUAAACUUUGUUGCUGAUGGGUUAAGAAUGAAUUGUACAAGCAAUCCUUGUUCCUCUACUCUGUCAAAUGUUCCAACUGGUGUGUUGUUCUUCAAGUAGGAUUUAAGAACUGACAAAUGUCUAUCUCGCUCCGUCUUUCAUGCAGUACACGUUAUUAGAAAGUGAUGUGUAUAUUCACGGCUUAUUUCACAUAGCAGGCACUUGUCACUUUCUCGACCUCUUGUGAAUUUUUCUCUGUCUGAUUGUAAUGUGUAAGUUCUUGUGAUUAACCUUGCUUUAAUUUCGGCCUUUUUCACUUCGAUAGUUGUAUUUGGUACUAGCUGCCAGAUUUGAGGAGGCUUUUCAAUAGUCUGUUGAUUUAUAUCAAUAUAUUGCAUAGUGGUUUUAUUUUCUUUCUCUGAUAACCACUGUUUUUCCCAAUGCAUGUUUAAUGCCUAAUUUACAGUCCUUUUCCAGAUCUCUUUUGUUGGUUUACUGUUCAUUAUUUCUUGUGCCUUUGGUAGACAAUAUUUAUUCAAAAUUUCUUUUAAUCUAUUGAUAAAGUUGUUACUAUUUGGUGGUGACAUGCAUAAUUGCCUUUCUAUGAUCAUAAAUUCGAUGCUAGCACGAUCCUGAAUAAUGCCUCCGAAAAAAGUAAGGACAAGACGAUCGACAGUUGCCUGUACUGGCUCCACACCAAGCAUAACAUAUAUGGCGGCGUUUGCUGUUCUGUUUGGCAAUCCCUGAAUUUGUCUACAGACCUGUUGUUGAAGUCUUUCAAGCUUUAGAAUGUCAGUUUUUGUAUAAUUCAUGAUCUCUAUACCAUACAAGCAUCUUGGAAUUGCAUAUGUUUGCCAUACUUUAAGUGCUACUAUAGGUGACAUUUCUUUUCGUGCGUGAAGGCCUGGACCUAACAUUGCGUAUACAGCUUUCCUAGCGACUUUCAAUCUAUCCUCGAUAUUCAGCUUAUUUUUAGAGUCUCUGACUAGUCCUAGAUGUUUUGUUUGUGACUUUUGAUCUAGAAUAUCAUUACCAAGUUGAACAGAGAAUUUUUCACGAGUAUCGUGGAAAAUUUUGCUUCUUGUCUUACCCCUUGUCUCUGAAUAAAUUGAUCUGACAGAGUAUUAUCCCAUUUCACUUUAACUGCAACAUUUUUGUACAUAUUUCUAAGCAAAAUCCAAAUGUUGCCAGUUAUGCCGUCAUGGUACAGUUUAUUGAAGAGUAUCUCAUGGUCUAAUUUGUCAAAUGCUUUUUGAGCAUCUAAUGUCAGGAGAACAAGCUGUGCAAGUACUUCUUUGUAGAAAUCUGCCCCCCUGGGUUACAAUGAAGGCUGCAUUGAGCGAGGAUGAUUUUUCAGUAAAUCCACGCUGAAGUUUACUUUGUUGUGGUAGAAGCUUGGGUUCUUUUCUGUCCUUAAGUAUACUUUCGAUCAAUGUGGAGAAGCAGUUAGUCACUGUUAUGCCUCUGUAGUUUUCAGGAUAUAUCUUAUCUUUUCCACUCUUCAGUACAGGCGUAACCACCCCUUCUUUCACUUUUGAAGGUAUAUUCUUUUCUUUGAAUAUAAGGUUAAUAAUGUAAAUGAUAUAUUGUUCAGUUGGCAUAUUCUUAAGGUGUUCAGCUGAGAUUCCAUCUGCACCUGGACUCUUUCCAGUUUUAAGCUUUUGAAUGGAUAAUGUAACUUCCUCUUCGUUUGCUUGUUUUAUCUCUUCGUUCCUAUUGGUUUCUAUUUGUUCAAUUAUCUCAUUUUGCAUAGUGGCGAGAAUAAGCCUCUCGGUGUUAUAUUUUGAUUUUUUUCAGUUUUGUGGCUUCUAUACAGAUCUUCAAAGUAAUUUUUCCAACCUUCAAGUAUAUCUUCAGGUUCUGCCUGUUCUUUUGCAUUAAAAAUCAUAACGUCUGUAUUCACUUUUUUGACACCUCUUUGAUUUUGUAUAAGCUGAUGGAAUAGCUUGUUGUCGUUUUGGGAAGCCAUCAUAAUUGUUACAAAAUGAUAGAAAUAAUUAUAAAUUAAGGAAUGUAUCUCCCUCAUGCAAAGCUCUGAUUCCUUCCUCGGAUUUGGCUAUACUUUUUGGACCUUUUGGAUUAUAGCUCUUCAUCUUUUAUGUAAGCUUUGGAUUUCAAAUAUUUUGGCCACGAGCAUCACUGAAGAGACAUGUAUUGUCGAAAUGCGCAUCUGGUGCAAGAAAAUUGGUACCGUUAAUUUUAUUGCUCUAUGAAGGUGUUUUUUUCUAGAUGCAUUAGCCCUUCGUUGCGCACUUCUUAAUAGUCGUUUGGCUUUUAUCAUUUCCUGCUUUUUCCCAGUGUUUUGUCCAUCCAAUUUCCAUUCAUAAAAUACUAUUUUGGAGUGUUUUGAAGCCUGACUAAUUUCUUCAUUCCAAAUGCCAUUUCCGAUCGCUUUUGAAGUUACUUGUUUCCUGUAAUUUGGUAUGGAAUCUUUUCCUGCCAUAUGCAAUAUGUUUGUUAAUUUUUCUAUUUCUUCAGCUGAUGAACUAAGAUUGUGAAUGUUAAUUUCAUCGAGGUUUUUUAGAAUAGAGGCCUGAUAACUGUUCUUGUCACACAUUUAACCUAGUAUCCCUUGAAGUCAAGAAAACUAUACGCAUGUGCAUAAUAACCUAAACAAACCCUGUAGUAAGAACGUAUAUUAAACCUAAAUGGUUCUCUAUUUUUUAUCGAUGUACAAUAUCAAAUAUCAGUUUAAUAACGGUGACAUAUAAGUAAAACUCCACUUCAGUUCUUAUAUGACAGAAAUAGAUUCAUCGGAAUUCAGAGAACUCUAGCAUUUUUAUCACAACUGGGGAAUUUCCUCUGACGUGUUUCUGAAUUUACAAAAACACUAAAUACAAAUACUGCUUGAUUCUGAUUUUCCGUGUUGUUAAAAACACGCAUAUAAGUCAAGGGAAAUAUCAAACAUGAAGAUUAUGAAAAGAACAUUAUAGGAAAGUUGUUUAAGUUCAACCCCUUUGUUUGUUUUUACCUUUUAAACCAAGACAAUCAUAAGAAUCUGAGACGGUCAUUAAUGUUUAGAAUAAAACGGUUGACGUGAGGGCACUGUCCUGAGCCACUGGUAUAAGUCUACAGAUUGCUUGAAAGCAAUCGUAUCCCAAAAACUAUAGUCAUUAAUCACCUAGUGCGUUAAAAAUCCAUUCAAGUCCAUUGCUGCUUCUGGAUUGUAAUAACGGUCCUGCAUUCUGUGAUGUUCAACGCAUGCGAGACAACUAUAUCUAGGCUAAUCAACUUACCAGAAAAAGGAGUUGGACUCAAGUAAUUCUGAAGUCACAACUUUAUGUUCCACUAGUGAUGCAAUGUUUAUGUAUCUUUGGGUUUCAUACUUUGUUCAAGCAUACUAUAUAGAAACACGUGUAAACUAAAACAGUAAUUUACACCUUUAAAUGUGAACAGAUAAAUAUGAUAAAUCAUGCAUACUACAGCAAUCUGAUAAUACACUUAACAUAGAACUCUAUACCGGGGAAACAAUUUUAAAAUAUAUUUCUAACCUACCUUUACAUUUCUUUAACCAGUUCAUUGAAUAUUAGAUAAUGGUGAUUUAUUUUUCUUUUCAGCUGUAUUUGGCCUAUUGGAAACGUAUAGGUUUCGUGAAAAUAUUGGGCUAUCUUGGUUGUGUAUUUCUGAUAUGUGCAUGAUGUUUACAAUCUCCAUGCUGUACUGGCAUAUUCAUCAUGAUCAAAUCACAGAUAUGAAGAAAAAUGAAUAAUAGACCAUAUGAAAGAUCAAUCACACAACAUGGCCAUUUUGUGAAAAUGUUAGAAUAGCCUUAAUUUUCUGUAUAUAAUAUUAACAUAAGUAAUGAUUAUGUCUGAACUUCCACUUUGUUAAUAUCUUAGCAAUACAAAAUAUUUUUGUGUAUAAAACAUGUAUUUAUCUUCAUUUUAAGCUGGAUAUUCCUUAUUGUUCUAUAAAGAAAUGACCAGUUGUAUACUGCAUACAAUAUUCUUGCAUUCUAAAGCUACAAUUGUUUGUAAG
RNAcentral lists this long non-coding RNA (23566 nucleotides) under Mytilus galloprovincialis (Mediterranean mussel). Lineage: Eukaryota; Metazoa; Mollusca; Bivalvia; Mytilida; Mytilidae. The record is from RNAcentral.